GUGCGCAUGCCCGGAAGAAGAUCUUCAGCGUGAUCAGAUUAAAUGUAAACUGCGUUCCUUCAGCAUUAAAUGUGUUUAUCAAGUUAAUCGAUCGAUUUGAUCGAUCUUCACAGCAGUGUUCGACUCCAAGACUCGAUUGGUACCGAUUCAGAUGAUUUACUAACUGAUUUAGGAUUCACUCGACGCGCGGACAGGAUGGUGUGUGAGCUGCUUCUGUCCUCGGUGUGGUUUCUUUUCGUCAUCUUCUGGCUGGAGACCAUCAGCGUGUGGCUCUUUCUGUGUCUGUACUAUCAGGACCGGGUCUUCUAUCACUGGGGCUCAGGGGGGUUUGCAGAUGAUCCAGAUCAGUUCCUCUACGUGCUGAGCAGGAUUGAUCUGUCGACGCACAUGCAGACGUGAGGAGGUGAUGUCAUCAGGAGGAAAAGGCAUGGCCUGAGGAUGUGGGCGGGGCUGCCGUGAGAGGCGGAGCUCCGCUAGUCUGCGAUGAGGAGUUUCAGGAGGCCGAUGGGCUCAUUCGUCCUAACAGCAUUUUCUCUUCAUAAGGGCGUGAUGUUAUCCUGUAGUCCUGAACUCAGACUGGGGACCUGUGUGAACGGUUUAUCUGUCUAAUCUGUUAAACUAGUUGGAGAUUCGGCUGUUACUUUCACUCUUUAAAACACUAACAGAUCCUUGUCUACUUAUUGCUUUUCUAUUUUUGUACCGAUUGGGGUUUUUGCAUUAUGAUGUUGUGUAAUAAAAGCCAUUUUACAGA
Molecule: long non-coding RNA, 751 nt
Organism: Danio aesculapii
Lineage: Eukaryota; Metazoa; Chordata; Actinopteri; Cypriniformes; Danionidae
Exons: 4
Source: RefSeq, a predicted model, not a curated record